This 253-nucleotide ribosomal RNA is filed under the name uncultured bacterium. RNAcentral describes it as "partial 16S ribosomal RNA". It matches the Rfam family "Bacterial small subunit ribosomal RNA", at positions 524 to 776 of the family's 1533-position model. The record is from RNAcentral.
UACGUGGGGGGCAAGCGUUGUUCGGAAUUACUGGGCGUAAAGGGCUCGUAGGCGGCCAACUAAGUCAGACGUGAAAUCCCUCGGCUUAACCGGGGAACUGCGUCUGAUACUGGAUGGCUUGAGUUUGGGAGAGGGAUGCGGAAUUCCAGGUGUAGCGGUGAAAUGCGUAGAUAUCGGGAGGAACACCGGUGGCGAAGGCGGUUCUCUGGGCCUGUACUGACGCUGAGGAGCGAAAGCGUGGGGAGCGAACAGG